GAGGGCGAACGGGUGAGUAAUACAUCGGAACAUGUCCUGUAGUGGGGGAUAGCCCGGCGAAAGCCGGAUUAAUACCGCAUACGAUCCACGGAUGAAAGCGGGGGACCUUCGGGCCUCGCGCUAUAGGGUUGGCCGAUGGCUGAUUAGCUAGUUGGUGGGGUAAAGGCCUACCAAGGCGACGAUCAGUAGCUGGUCUGAGAGGACGACCAGCCACACUGGGACUGAGACACGGCCCAGACUCCUACGGGAGGCAGCAGUGGGGAAUUUUGGACAAUGGGGGAAAGCCUGAUCCAGCAAUGCCGCGUGUGUGAAGAAGGCCUUCGGGUUGUAAAGCACUUUUGUCCGGAAAGAAAUCCAUGGUUCUAAUACAGCCGGGGGAUGACGGUACCGGCAGAAUAAGCACCGGCUAACUACGUGCCAGCAGCCGCGGUAAUACGUAGGGUGCGAGCGUUAAUCGGAAUUACUGGGCGUAAAGCGUGCGCAGGCGGUGUGCUAAGACCGAUGUGAAAUCCCCGGGCUCAACCUGGGAACUGCAUUGGUGACUGGCAGGCUAGAGUAUGGCAGAGGGGGGUAGAAUUCCAAGUGUAGCAGUGAAAUGCGUAGAGAUGUGGAGGAAUACCGAUGGCGAAGGCAGCCCCCUGGGCCAAUACUGACGCUCAUCCUAAA
This 666-nucleotide ribosomal RNA is filed under the name Burkholderia cepacia. RNAcentral's name for it is "bacterial SSU rRNA". It matches the Rfam family "Bacterial small subunit ribosomal RNA", at positions 94 to 758 of the family's 1533-position model. The record is from RNAcentral. Lineage: Bacteria; Pseudomonadati; Pseudomonadota; Betaproteobacteria; Burkholderiales; Burkholderiaceae.